GGUUAUUGUGUGAUGUAUAUAGGCUAACAGGACGUGUGUAUUAACAUGACCCCCCCUCCCUGAGGCUGACGAUGGUUCCGUCCAAACAUUCACCCUUUUAGCGGGAAGUGAAACAUAAAGAAAGACGGAGAAAGUUCUACUGAAAUGAGGUCAUCAAAGGUCAGAGGAAAUAAAAAGCCUCCAGUGAAGAACAGGGUGAACAAGGCCUCCCCUGAUGAACUCUGGAACGUUCCUCACACGUCUGUGACAGACACAGACACUUUGUUGGAGGAAGUGAAGCUGAAGUGUGGUGAGCCCCUCCUACACAGCACAGCCCUGGAGGAUGACCUGAUUAGGUCUGAGGAUGGAGCUGCUGCUGUGGAGGAGCUCAGAGUAGAGUUACCUGUGGAGAAGAAGAAGAGGAGGAGUCAACCUGCUCCUACUGUCAGCACACGAUUGGUUGGAAAGAAAGCAGCCAAUGGGAGGAGAGCAGAACACGCUCUAAAGUCAGCCACCAAUCAGCGAUCAAUGAAGGACAACCAAUCAGGUUCCUCUACCAGAGGCCCUCAGCCAGUGGAGAAAAGCAGAUCAAAACGUGUGAGAUCUGAUGAAGAGGAUGGAGAUGAUGAUGAAGAUCACAGAGAGAAACCCUCCUCAGGUAAGAGCUGCAGUAGACUCAGAACCUGCAAGUGCUCAGAGCAGCUGAACCUGAUGUGUGUGGAUUGGUCAGGAGGAGGUUCCUCAGAGGAGGAGGGGGGAGGAGCAGAGAUGAGGAGGAGGAGGAAGAAGACCUGUGUAUCAGAGUUAGACAGGCUUGUGGAGGCGUUCCAUCACUUCUGUGGCCUCUACAGGAAGGACGUGGAGUCCCCACAAGACCAGCACAACAUCCUCACACUGUGUGAGAACGUCACACAGCUACUGACGGAGAGGGUGUGGACUGUCUGUCUGUCUGUCUGUCUGUCUGUCUGUCUGUCUGUCUGUGUGUGUGUGUGUGUGUGUGUUCACUAUUUAUCAUCACACACUCACUGGACCACUGCACUAUUUCUUUCUUUCUUUCUUUCUUUCUUUCUUUCUUUCUUUCUUUCUUUCUUUCUUUCUUCCAGGUCUCAGCAUCUCAGGAACUCAGAGCUCUCAAAAGAGGCAACGCUAAGACAGCUUCUAUGAUCCGCUCUAAGAUAAAACGACUGUUGGAUGGAAAACAUGAGCUGAUGAAGGCUGAGGGGCUCCAUCAGCAGCUCCUACAGCAGAGAUCAGAUCUCAGUCAGAGAUUAACACACAUGAGGAGAGGAGCAGCGUUCCUCCAGGACCUCAGAGACAUCACUACUACACACCUGGACCAUGGACACACACACACACACACGUACGGAGCUGAUAGUGUGGCUGCUCUGCUGCUGGAGACCAGGAUCCAUGACAGACCUCCACCACCAGGGGGCGCUCACACCUCUGCAGGAAACCUUCACCUAUAGUCACAUGAUCAGUUCAGCUGAUCAAUAAAACAUGUUAGAGCACUUCCUGUCUGAUUCUC
This 1504-nucleotide long non-coding RNA is filed under the name Gouania willdenowi (blunt-snouted clingfish). RNAcentral describes it as "lncRNA (ENSGWIG00000008896.1)". The record is from RNAcentral. Lineage: Eukaryota; Metazoa; Chordata; Actinopteri; Blenniiformes; Gobiesocidae.